This 87-nucleotide transfer RNA is filed under the name Solanum pimpinellifolium. Its description in RNAcentral is "tRNA-His". The stretch from base 13 to 86 matches the Rfam family "tRNA". Rfam says of the family: Transfer RNA (tRNA) molecules are approximately 80 nucleotides in length. Their secondary structure includes four short double-helical elements and three loops (D, anti-codon, and T loops). The record is from RNAcentral. Lineage: Eukaryota; Viridiplantae; Streptophyta; Magnoliopsida; Solanales; Solanaceae. RNAcentral also lists the same sequence under 2 other names.
GCGGGGGUAGGGGCGGAUGUAGCCAAGUGGAUCAAGGCAGUGGAUUGUGAAUCCACCACGCGCGGGUUCAAUCCCCGUCGUUCGCCC